Small nucleolar RNA from Seriola dumerili (greater amberjack), 71 nucleotides. Its record names the gene SNORD24. It matches the Rfam family "Small nucleolar RNA SNORD24". From Rfam's summary of the family: U24 is a member of the C/D class of snoRNA which contain the C (UGAUGA) and D (CUGA) box motifs. The record is from Ensembl. Lineage: Eukaryota; Metazoa; Chordata; Actinopteri; Carangiformes; Carangidae.
UGCAGAUGAUGUAAAUGAAUAUUUGCUAUCUUAAGAACACUGAAGACAACCCCACCAAGAUCGCUGAUGCA